RNAcentral lists this transfer RNA (76 nucleotides) under Thermoproteota archaeon. RNAcentral's name for it is "tRNA-Thr". It matches the Rfam family "tRNA". Rfam says of the family: Transfer RNA (tRNA) molecules are approximately 80 nucleotides in length. Their secondary structure includes four short double-helical elements and three loops (D, anti-codon, and T loops). Further hydrogen bonds mediate the characteristic L-shaped molecular structure. tRNAs have two regions of fundamental functional importance: the anti-codon, which is responsible for specific mRNA codon recognition, and the 3' end, to which the tRNAs corresponding amino acid is attached (by aminoacyl-tRNA synthetases). tRNAs cope with the degeneracy of the genetic code in two manners: having more than one tRNA (with a specific anti-codon) for a particular amino acid; and 'wobble' base-pairing, i.e. permitting non-standard base-pairing at the 3rd anti-codon position. Lineage: Archaea; Thermoproteati; Thermoproteota. The record is from RNAcentral. RNAcentral also lists the same sequence under 1 other name.
GCCCCGGUAGCUCAGUCGGCAGAGCGGCCGCCUUGUAAGCGGCAGGUCGGGGGUUCGAGACCCCCCCGGGGCUCCA